Molecule: long non-coding RNA, 449 nt
Filed under: Cyanistes caeruleus (blue tit)
Lineage: Eukaryota; Metazoa; Chordata; Aves; Passeriformes; Paridae
Description: lncRNA (ENSCCEG00000016841.1)
Source: RNAcentral
UUUCACUUCUGUGCCACGCUCAUGGCUCUGACCUGCAAGGCAAUUCUCUAUCUGCAGCAAAAAGCUUUCUGUCUGGCUCUUUUUAUUGAUUUGGAAAGUUACAGUGGCACCCACACAGAGCCUGUCUCCAGGGGAUAUUUGAAGCCCCCAGAAGGUCUGAAGGUUCAAUAAAAGCAUUCCCCUGCAGGCUGGAUGAAAAGAAAUCACAUCCUAGUCUGUGACAGCAGAGGUGCAAGAGCCAUUCAUGGGAGAAAAAAUGGGAACUGUAGGAAGAAGCACAAGAAGAAGAAGCUGCAAGAAUUUGAAGAAAAAUCAAAUAUGGUGAAAAAUGCAUUUUUCAGCUGAAGGCACAGACUGAGUGAACAGUGUCACACCCUGAUCCUUCAAAGGUUGCGUAUGUGAUUUUUCACUUUAGACACAGCCCUGCUCUCUGCUAAUGGAAUUUUGGU